AACAAUUGAUAUCAUAAAUUGAAUCAGCCAUACAAAUUUUUUUAUCGAUGCAAUUUUUUAUGAAAUAGUGUCAAUUAACCAACCAGUAGCUAAGCCAGUUUCGUAACAUGUUUUUUCCAACUGUUUAGGCACUGUGCUUUAUUUUGGGAAGUUAAUGGCCUACUAAUUCGAGUUAUUAAGUUUAAAAAACUCAUUUGUAGCUUUAAAAAGCUCUUCUGUUAAUGAGAACUUGUUGAAGAGUGAACAAGUCUAGCACAUAUGUUGACACGAUGCUGCUCUAUACGAUUUUUGAGAGGUUCGAUGAGCGGGAGAGCACAACUUGGGGUUCUCUCAGAUCUAUGUAUAGGAAUAGUUAAACGUAUAAGACAGAGAAAGCCUCAGCACUUGGCGGGCCCGCCCGAUCGGUCCAAUCAGUCGCCGGUUCGUCGUUCAGUGCGUCGCGUCGUUUUGGGCUUUGGUUACGACACAGGGAACACGCGCUGCAUUCUUUAGCACUCGCUGAACGAUCCACAGAAUAUGGAAUACUGGCUGAAGGUCUCGCUGCUGCUCUGCACUUUCGGCUUCCUUCGCGAGAUGCGGCCAUCGGAGCCGUAUGUGACCGAAUAUCUGGCCGGAGACUAUGGUAAUCUGACCUCCGAGCAGGUAUACCAGAAUGUCUAUCCCUUUGGCACGUACUCGGUGCUAGCCCAAUUGGUGAUUGUGUUCCUCAUCACGGAUCUGGUGCGGUACAGGCCGGUGAUCGUUCUGUCUGCCGUUGCUGGGAUUGUGCUGUUCGCCCUGCAGAUAUGGUGCGAUACCCUGAGAAUGCUACAGGUUGCCCAGCUCUUCUAUGGCUUCUUCACGGCCGCCGAGGUGGCCUACUACACGUACAUCUAUGCCAAAGUGGACAAGGAGCGCUAUCAGAUCGUCACCGGACACACGCGUGCGGCUAUCUUGAGCGGAAAGUUUCUGGGCGGACUGGUGGCCCAGAUUCUGGUGUCCACCGACAGCAUGGACUAUGGGGAGCUGUACUACAUAUCGCUGACCACACAGAUCAUAUCGUUGGGUGUGUCCCUGGUUCUUCCCAGCGUGCCACGCAGUCUGUAUUUCUAUGCGAAUGAUGCCAGUCCGAGUCCGACGCCUGGCGGCGAGGAGAAGGUCCCACAAUUCUCACUCAAAAAGGCAUGUCGCCUGCUGUGGUACCACCUGGUGUCUUCAUAUUCGAACCGCAUUGUCCUGCAAUGGAGUGUGUGGUGGGCCCUGGCCACCUGUGGUCAGAUUCAGGUGAUAUCGUAUAUUCAGUUCCUGUGGAAGGAGGUGGCGCCCGAACAUCAGAGCGUCUACAAUGGCGGUGUGGAGGCAUUGGCCACUCUCCUGGGCGCCGUAGGAGCCAUUGUGGCGGGUAUGCUCAACUCAAACAAGCGACGCAGCUCCUAUAUGCUGUGCAACUCCAUUUGCGCUGCUGUUCUGGGCGGUCUCUUGCUAUAUGCCUCACAAACCACUGUACUCUGGGUGGCAUACGUCAAUUAUGUGCUCUUCUGUGCCAUAUUCUUCUUCAUCAUCACUGUGGCAGGAGCCAUUGUGGCCGAGAAUCUGGUGGAGGACAGCUUUGGCCUCGUCUUCGGCAUCAACACUUUGGUGGGACUCAUGUUGCAGACGAUCCUCACCAUUGUCGUGGUGGAACCGGAUCCGGGCUUUGGCUUGGGGCUGCGAGAUCAGUAUCUAGUCAACGGAGGCUAUUUCCUCUGCUUGGGGGGAAUCUUUGGACUCUGGAUUCUCAUUGCAAAGCUAUGUGCCAAGUCCAGGAACUCGAAGCAAUUGCGAAUAACCACGUAGCGGAGACCAUGAGACACAUCUUAUUGCAACAGCAGAUCAUUUUUGUUGCUAAUGGUUUGCGGAUUGACCAGCAGGUCUAAGAAGCGUUUGGCCACAAACUACAUAUAUUGGAAGGAUUUGCCUUGAUGUCGUUAUCGUCCAGCUCAACGCGAAGGAGCGAGGCCUCUCAUCGUCCAUCUCUUUGAUCUUCAAGUUGUAUGAAAGCGUCCGUAGUAGGCCUGCGUGGCCUACGUGACCCCGCGUGACCAGCACACACCCCCGAACACUGACCAACAGACAUCGGGAGUAGUAGAAGCAAGUCUGUUUAUUAGCAAUCUUGAUGCAAUCAGGGAUCUAGCUACUUUUGAAAUAAUUAAAUGUGUACAGGAGAUACUUUUAGCGCACUCACUUGACCACUCCUUUCUCAUUGGACUUCUGUUUAACCUGACCCCCACACAAAUGUGACUACGUUCUGUGCGCCUUAUGUGCCAUAUUCACUGAUCGCCAGCCAGCCCUCACCCUUUGUGACGGCCCAUAUUUUUGCGUCCUAGUUGGACCUAUUUAUGCGCACAGCGCUGUAGCUGCAGCUAAUCUGCAUACGGUUGAAAAGAAUUAGAAAAACACUAGAAAGCUUUGGUCGGUCGAGCAUGCUUAUAUGCUUUAGAUUAUCGUGUUUAUCUUAUCUAGCGAUUGUGCUUUAAAUGCGUGGAAAGCUAAAGCCGACGCGCAGCCCUAGAUCAUUCGAUCUGUGCUAACGUGAAGUGCAUAGUGAAGGUCAGUUUUCUGCAAACAAAUGAGUAGAAGCAGAAAGAAUAUUGUUCUUCAGAGACUUCAGACUGUAUGUGAGCCCGAGGGCGUUUGAAUGUUUGAAAUAACAGUUACGUUAUCAGUCAGAUACACGGACGCAUGCUUUGAGUAAUGCUACGUUGUGAAAAUGGUCAAGGGUUAACACCAAGAAGAAAUAUCGGCUUUUAACAUGGUCGGGUAAAUUGGUGCUCUAAACAACCACAUUACACCUUGACAUUCGUAUACAAAAACGGCAGAUUUCUUGUAGAAGACCUUGGACAGACUGAGCUUACUUCUGCCUGAAGUAGGUUCUUUAUAUGGUUAAUUCUUUAUGAAAUACGGAGAUGUUUAUUACGAGUAG
Molecule: RNA transcript, 2941 nt
Organism: Drosophila pseudoobscura
Lineage: Eukaryota; Metazoa; Arthropoda; Insecta; Diptera; Drosophilidae
Gene name: thiamine transporter 1-like
Exons: 4
Source: RefSeq, a predicted model, not a curated record